This 497-nucleotide ribosomal RNA is filed under the name uncultured bacterium. Its description in RNAcentral is "partial 16S ribosomal RNA". It matches the Rfam family "Bacterial small subunit ribosomal RNA", at positions 28 to 507 of the family's 1533-position model. The record is from RNAcentral.
GAUGAACGCUGGCGGCGUGCCUAAUACAUGCAAGUCGAGCGAACAGACGAGGAACUUGCUCCUCUUACGUUAGCGGCUGACGGGUUAGUAACACGUGGAUAACCUACCUAUAAGACUGGGAUAACUUCGGGAAACCGGAGCUAAUACAGGAUAAUAUAUUGAACCGCAUGGUUCAAUAGUGAAAGACGGUUUUGCUGUCACUUAUAGAUGGAUACGCGCCGCAUUAGCUAGUUGGUAAGGUAACGGCUUACCAAGGCAACGAUGCGUAGCCGACCUGAGAGGGUGAUCGGCCAGACUGGAACUGAGACAAGGUCCCGACUCCUACGGGAGGCAGCAGUAGGGAAUCUUACGCAAUGGGCGAAAGGCUGACGGAGCAACGCCGCGUGAGUGAUGAAGGUCUUCGGAUCGUAAAACUCUGUUAUUAGGGAAGAACAAAUGUGUAAGUAACUAUGCACGUAUUGACGGUACCUAAUGAGAAAGCCACGGCUAACUACGUG